CACACACACACACACACACAAUGUGCACACAUACACAUAAAAGGAAUGGGGUAGGGGAAAAGAAAUAACUGGUUUGUCACCUUGCUUGUUAAGGUGGACUACAAGGAAGACGGAGAGUUGAAUGUGACACUCAGCAGCAUGGAUGACAUUGGCAGUCUGGACAAAAAUCUGUGCUGUUGCGAGGGCUGGGGCAUCAAAAGAGAGGUACAGUCGAGGGAUGGAGGAGAGAAACAUCAGGGACGUCUUUCUGAAGGACAAAGCAGAGGAGAGCGAAGAAAAGAGGUAGCCUGGGUACCUCAAAAGCCAACUCUUCCCCCAACAUUUGCAUGGCUCAGCCAGCAGAGGAGGGAAAAGUAGCAGAAGGACAUGGGGCAGCCUGUGGGAUGAAUAUCCUCCAAUAGCUGAUGGAGAGGAAGGCUGAUUGUCAAUCAGAGCAGAGAAACUCAUUCCAACUAAGGAAUGGACCCCUCUGUAAGUUUGUAGAUGUGGGGCUCGGAGCUUAAAAGGUCCUUUUCCCACUGCGUCUGAUUUUCUCGGUGAGCAGGAAGCAGGUAGAUUUGGGAACCAGGAAGGGGCUUCUGGGCUGCCCUGAGGAUCCAUCAAGUAGAACGAUCAGGAAGGUAGCUAAGACUCGUGGGCAAGUUACGUGUUUCUGUCAGCAGCUGGGUACAGGUGUGAGGCAGAUGAAUAGUUGGGGCAGCUUGUGUCAGCGUGGAGGGCUGCUGGGGACCAUGGCGUUGAAGCAUGGAAAGGAAAGAAGGGACUGAAAAUCAGUUGUCCUCCCGGCCAGGAUGGGAGACUGACAGAGAGGUCUUAAUAGAAUGUAGCACCGAAGGGUAACUGGAGGGCUAGGAAUGUAGCACAGGUGAGAGUUUGUUUGCUGAGUACUCACAAAGCCCUGGGUUUAAUCCCAGCCCUACAUAAAUCAGGGUGCUGGCACCUAGAAUCCUAGCGCUUGGAAGGCAGAGGUAGAAAGGACAGAAAAUCAGCUACUUAGAGAGUUCAAGGGUAGUCAUGGCUCCAUGAGACCCUAUCUUGGUAAAACAAAACAAGCCCAACAGAAAAGGGCUUGCUGGAGCUGAAGAACAGGGAGCUAAGCCGGUGAGAUUGGAGGCCGGAUCAGUGAGGGGGAAAGUGAUGGGCAGUCCAGAAAAACAUCUGCAACACAGUCCUCAUCAUGGGUCCUUCAGAAUGUCUCAGCAUUAAAGGCCAGUGUCAGACCCGGAGGGAAAGCUCAGCAGCUAUGAGCAGUUGCUCCUCUUCCAGAAGAUCUGAGUUUACCCAGGACCCACCCAUGUCAGGUGGCUCACAGUCAUCUCUAACUCCAGCUUCAGGUGGCUCUGACAGUCUCUUCUGGCUUCUUUGGUAACUGCACUCACAUGAACACACACACACACACACACACACACACACACCCACACACACACACACACACCCCAAAUAAAUUUUAAAGAGAAAAUGCUAGCAUUAAUGACAGAGGGCCGUGACCAUGCUUUGAAAGCACAGGAAAUGGGGUGGUUAAUCCUCACUUCUUCUCAGGCUUUGUAAGUGUGGGGAACUUUUGACUUAACUCCGGAAGUAAGAGCAGAAUUUCAAUAUGUGGUUGUUAGUGACAGGGUAUCCAUUUUCAGAGGAAGUGUUUCUCUCCUGGUGUGUGUGUGUGUGUGUGUGUGUGUGUGUGUGCUGUGAAGUGGAUCUCAGAGCUUAAGAAUGCCAGGCAAGUCUACCAGGGAGUUACACUUCGAGCUUCUCAUAUUCAUUUUGAUACACAGCCCAGGCAGCACCUGAAUUUGCAUUCUUCCUGCCUCAAUCUCCUAAGUGCAGAGGUGACAGGCAUGAACCACUGUGCCUUGGUCGUGAUUGCUUUUGACAGACUCCUGGGAGGUUACCUCUAAGCCUUUGGGAUGGCCUUCCUAAUGCAGGUGGCUUUGUUUACCUGGGACCCUUCCCCAACAUCAGAUAGUAAGUGGGAUUUAUGGUAGAGAAGAGAGCAUGCGGUUACCAGCUCAGCCUAAGGAGGAGCAAAUGAUACAAUCAGCCAUGAGUGUGGAUGAAUAUGAAUGUGGUCAUCACUGACCACAGUGAGUUGUGAGUGAGAUCAGUCAUGAGCAUGGCUAGCCAUGUGGUCAACAGUGAGUAGUCGGAUGUGAACAUGGUCAGCUAUGAGCUUGGUCAGAUUUGAGUUUGGUCAUUGGCAAAUGUGGUCAGCCAUAAGUGUGGUCAGUGGUGGGCAUUGGCAACUACGAGUACAGUCGGUGGUGAUCACUGUCAAUGGUGAUCACUGUCAAUGGUGGUCAUCUGUAAGUGUCUGCUAAUAAUAUCCGAUGAAACCUCCAGAUAGCAAAGCUAGGACUUUUUAAUACCUUUGGUUUUCUCUGGGUAAGACACAAAGGCUGGCAACAGUCUGCGUGCAUUGGCUGUGGCUGUCCGCUUGACUCUGUGGAGAGCUUGACUCUCUUGGACCUGCCACAGCAUCUCUCCCAUCUGCUAUCUUUGCUCUGACCCUCCCACAUCGGUAAACUAUAACCACUAACGUAAAAGUUUGCUGAAUUCUGAGAGUCUUCCUAGUGGCAAACUCCUCCUCAGAGUAGUCUUGAGGAUUGUGGUUAAGGGUGAGGACCAAGGUAUUCUGAGUAAGGUGAAAACUAGAGCAUACUGGGUAAGGAGAGGAUCAGGACAUUCUCUCUAAGAUAAAGACCAGGGCAUUCUGGGUAAGAUGAGCACUGGAGCAUUCUGGGUAAGAUAAGGACAGAGCAUUCUGGGAAAGAUGAGGCCCCUGGCAUUCUAGGGAAACACCUGCUGUGGAAAAACAGAGAAUUGGAAGUGUCAUUUUCACAAGGACAGUAGGAAGAAAGAAAGGAAAAAAAAAUCCCAAACACGUGAAAAGAGGUUGAAGCAGCCUCCAUAACGUCCCAAGUGUAAAUUAAAAGAAGGCAGCGGCAGCGUGUUUUCUCCCCAGCAGACUGGCACACAUCCCAACGCACGGGAACACGCUGUGUUGGAGAAGCUGUGGGAAGCAAGGCCUCGCACGUCGCUGCUGGAAACACAAACCGAUGCAAGCUCCGUAUGGACAGACUUGGCAACAGCCAUCCGCUUACAGAUGUACCUACCUCUGACCCUCCCACCCGCACCUGUAAUCGUGACUGUCAACUUCAUAGGACUUAGAGUCAUCUAGAAGACCCAAACAUAAGGGAAGGCCCAUUCUGAAGGUAAAAUGGAGUCUGAAGUCAAAAUGGCGGUACUCAGCCCAACGUCCUUUUGCCUGCACCCUUCAAUACCUUCCUCACUAUGAUGGACUAUGCCCUCAAACUGUGAGUUAAAAUACACCCUUCCUUCCUUCCUUCCUUCCUUCCUUCCUUCCUUCCUUCCUUCCUUCCUUCCUUCCUUCCUUCCUUCAGUUGCUUUUGUAACAAUUUGUCAUAGCAACAGGUAACAAAGACUUAAAAUUAUCAUUUGUUAUUGUAAGUUAUUUGUGAUUGUAUAGUGGAGUUGGCUAAUUAUAAUUUAUUGUAGUAGCUUAUGAUGAUUAUAGCUCAUGAGUUUGCAGUUCUGCUGUCUGAAUCAGGCUUAGCUGAUAGUGUCCAGUCCUGCUCAGAGAUCUGUCAGCUGCCUGACCUAGGUUGUCCUUAGGUGGAGGAGUCUGUGUCCCCACAAGUAUUCUUGUCCCCCAUCAAGCCAUCCUGGGCUCCUCCACAAUGAAGCACGGGUUCAUUCUGGAACUUGGAGACACUGCUUGUCCUCCUUAGCUUUGAUUGUCAAUUUGACACAGCCAAGAGUCACCUGAGAAGGACUCUCAAUUGAGGGGUUGCCUAGAUCAUAGUGACCCAUGGGCAUGUCUGUGGGGAUUGUCUUGGUUGCUAAUUGAUACAAGAGGACUCAGCCCACUGCGGGUGGCAGCAUUCCCUAGGCAGAGGGUCCUGGGCUGUAUAAGAAAGCUAACUAUGCAAGUGCAUGUGAGUGAGCCAGCAAGCAGCAUUCUCUAUGGUUUUUGCUUCAAUUCCUGCUUGAGUUUCUGCCCUAUUUAUAAGCUGAAAUGUACCCUUUCCUUCCCUUGGUUGCAUUUGGUCUGAGUGUUUUAGUACAAAAAAUAGGACAUUGUUCUCACUACAUCCCAUUCCCCAAGGCAAGUCUAGAGGCCGUAUAGCUUUUCUUACUCCACAUGGCCCAAGUACCAAGAGCAAUGCCCAGGCUGAGAAGGAUACAAGGCUACACUCCUACCUCUGUGGCUUGCCAUUGCAGCUAUACCAUCUUUCUGCCUGGACUCCAUGCUUCAGACUUUGCUGACUGCAGCCCCGAAACCCCAGGUAUGAAAGAGAACAAAGAGACUCACAAAAGAGCACAUCAGUGAACUACUUAGUCACCACUAGUGUUCACCUGUGCCCCUGUGACCCAAGGAAGCUGGGCUUUCGAUUCCAAUACCGCCAUGAAGUUAGCUCUAUGGACUGCAUACCCUACAUGGGAUGGAGGAAGAAAAAAUACCUCAAAAAAUUGUUCAGCCUUCAUGAACAUCGUAGACCUUCUGUGAGAGCUUGCCCCACAUCCUGCAGGAGUGUGUGGGACCAUGGUACUACAGUGUGCUACCACUUGGAGACCAGUGCCUGGAACCAAAGAAGAAUGGCCCAUAGUUUCAGCAGCUUCAACGAGUGUCACUGGCUCCGUUGCUCCUGGGACAUAGUAAGAGAAAGCAUCAUGUAGGCAAUAUGUAGAACAAAGCUGCUUAAUUCAUGACAACCAGGAAUCACAGACACAGGAAUGGGCCAGAGAGGGGGAAAAACCACCCUUUUAACAUAUACUUCAGUAACCUACCUGCGCAUGCUCAUAACUCCUGCAUCACGGUGUUCACAGAAGGAUCAAGCAAAUUCAAAUGUAGGCCGUGCUUCUGGUUCCCCACACUCCACACGACUAAGUAAUAUAUAUGUAGGAAAUGUGCCCUGAACCUCCAGGGUCCUUCACACAAUUUUUAGGCAUCACAAGCUAAAUAGUAACAUCCUAUAUUCCCAUUGUCAAGUGAAUUUAAGAAAACAGUAGUGGUUUGCAUAAGCCUAUGUGCAUGCAGUCUCUUUGCAUAAGCCUUAGAGACUCCUGUGACUACGUGUGUGCAUGGGCCAGCUUGCAUGCACACACUUCAGUGGAUUUCUAUGUUAGAGUAUUUAUUGCAUCUUACUUUAGUCUCCCCAGACACCAGCAACAGCAGGGGCCUCACUGUGUAUGGUAUGAGUGUUUAGAAAUGGUUCAGACACCCCCACUGAAUGCCUACUAAGGCUCGAAUGGGUUAAGUUUGAGCAACAAACACCCUUUGGUCUAGAGAGAGAAUAUCACACAAGAAAAAGAUUGUCAUGUGACACUCUGGAUACUGUGUUGUUUUUCUUCUCCCUAAAGCCCCUGCAAAUCUAGUUACAUGUGAACACACCUUCACACUUAAUUGAUGCCCACCUGUAUCUCUAGAGAAGUGGAAAAUUUUUCUGAAGCCUGCAAGGGAGGGCUCUCUAGGAGUCCUCUUAUUUUUCCACUGGGUCUUUUGCUCUUGUUCUCUGACCUGAAUUCUGGCCAGUUCUGCCUAAAAGAGAUUGCCCAGUCCCUGGGCAUAUGCAGAAGAGGUAGUUGGCUGAUUUAUAACAGCCAGGAUGGUAAAACAUGUUUGCUUAGAGCACUGUGUCCAGUUUCUAUUCUCCAAUUUCAGAAAGCUAAUAAGAAAAUUGAUUUUCUUGCAGGGCAUAGGAAAGACUUAUUUCUUAUAUGCAGCACAGGGAUUAAUAAUUCAUUAAUGAGCUCUAUGUGUCUGUGGGGAGACCCAUUUGACAAUGCUACAGUGACAUUUAGAAGGCUGUCUGACUCUUCCUUAGGCACACAGAUGAUUGGCCUCUUUCCUACCGUCAUCUCUCACUUCCAGAACAAGGUCAGCUGCAUAGAACAGAAAUCUCAGAAUGACAGUCACAAAUGAACGAAAUGAGCUUUGCUCUACUAUCAUGACUUAAUAAUAGUCUUCAGACACCUAAGUCACUUCUCACUCAUGGUCAUAGGAUGACUUCUGAAGCACCUCUGAAGCGAUCACAUGGUCAUUCCAAGCAACAGGGAGAAGGUAGAGAAAGGAACUCCAGCCUCUCUCAAUUGAGUCAGACCUUCCUAGAAGUUCAAAGAGGUCUUACCCUGAUCUGCCCAGAACUUGAUCACCUGCUCACACCUAGCUGCAAGGGAAGCCACCAAAGCAGACCUGAGCAAUUGCCAUCUGUAUUAGUUACUUAUCUCAGUAAUAUGACAAAAUACUUGACAAGAAGCAACUUAAGGUGAAAUGGGCUUGUUUCAGCUCACAGUUUGAGGGGCUACAGUCCAUCAUGGUGGGAAGGCAGGGCUGCAGGAGCAUGAGGCAGCUGGCCACGUGACAUCCAUCAUCAGAAAAAAAAAAAACAGGUGCUGGUGCUCAGCUCCCUUUCUUUCUCCUUUUUAUUCAGUUCAGGACCCCACCCAAUGGGCUGAUGCUGCCCACAUUUAGGGUGGGUAUUCCUUCCUCAAUCCAGACUAGAAACUUCCUCAUAGACAUGCCCAGAUAUUUGUCUCCUUAGUGAUUUUAGAUCCUGUCAAGUUGACAAUCAACAUUAAUUAUUUUAUACUUCUUGUGCCUGAGAAUGAAGGAAGAAGAGAUUUUAGAAAUGCUCUUCACACCUCAAUCUUUGACAACGGUACUUCCCCACCCCCCAUUCAGCAGCUUAUCUUACAAAACCCCAAGGCUCAUUUUCUAUGUUGUGUUCCAUACCUAACUUAACAUGUCCUACCUGCUCUACCUCCAAAUGCAUUCAGAAUCUGUCUGUCUCCUCUGAACUCCACUCCACAAUGCUACACACCCACACUGGCCCUCCACCACUCCCUUCACAGUGGAAGAACGUGAUUCUGCCACUCUCUUGCUUGAUAUGACCCAACAGCUGUCUCUUACACUGGGAGUGAACACCUGAGCUCAGUGCACCCCUGAGUUGAGACUCUAUGACUUCAGUCUGAGCUCAUGUCCUACCUCUGAACCUCAGUGGCAGUUGACUGCCAUUCCUCCCACACCUUAGUCCCUUUCCACCACAGGCUCCUGCAUUCACACUUUCAUCAAUUUGGGCACCAUGGUCACCUGACAUUUGUGAACUACUAUCAUGGUGAUAAUGAACUAAUCUCUGAAACUAUCCUUCUAGAGAGUCCUGUCUCAGUGCAGAUGUCCUUCCUCACAAACACCUCCCAUCACCCAAUAUCUGGAUAUCAGUCUCUUCAUGCCCUUCUCCAGGCACUCCUCAGCUCUGUUCAUCUUCUCUUCCACACUAAACCACCAUUGAAAUUGUCUGAUGUACUUCUUGGCUGCUGAAUAGACUGACUCUGCUCACUAGAACCCAGUCCAACAAAGAGAGCUGCUACCUUUAAAAAAAAUUUAAAAAUUUUAUCCUCUAGUGAGUUUAUGUAUAAUAUAUGCACAUAUAAAUAUACAUACAAUAUUAUAAUAUUCAUCCCUAAAUUUCCACCCCUACUCUCCAUGUUCCUCCCCCAAGAGCACUCCUUCUCAAAUUAAAACAUAUUGUUUUAUAAAUGAAAAAAAUGUUAUUCAAAUUAAAAAAUAAUAAUAAAAAACAUUGUUUUUUGAUAACCUUCUAAGUCCAAUUGGUGUUGCACACACAUAUGUGCAUGUGUGUAUGCCCCACCCCCCACUGGAAAGUGGGAAGCCUGCCGGAGGCUGUACCCUCAAUAAAGAGUGAUUCUCUCUCCCCUGGAAACUACCAACUGCCAAUAGGUCCACCAGUGAAGGGUGGGCCUUGGAGAGCACCUUUACCCCCACCUCCAUCUAUGCCAGCCAGAAUUUUGACUGACUUGAUUCUGGGCAGAUAACCACAGCUGCUAUGGGUUCAUGAAUGCAAUAGCAAUACUAAGUGUAAUACCAGGCUCUAGUGCUAUGCCUGCCUGCCUGCCAUGUGCUGCCACACUCCCCACCCUGAUGAUAAUGGACUAAACCUCUGAAAUUGUAAGCAAGCCCCAAUUAAAUGCUUUUUUAAAGUAAGAGUUGCCAUGGUUCUGGUGUCUCUUCACAGCAAUAGAAAAGUAACUAAGACACCACCAACCAUCCUCUGGGAAGAAGCAAACCGUAAGAAAGACAAACCCAGGAGUCAAGUAGGAGCAAAUUUGUAGAGAGUGGAUCUUGGGAGCAUCUUCCAAGACCCAUGCACCAGCCGCUCAGAGCUGUUGACUUUCUGAUGAUUUUCUGUCCAACCCAAAAGAACCUAGGAAAGAGAGCUGCUCCCGCCAUGAUGAAAUUGUACCAGACAACUUAAUGAAAACUCCUCAGCUCCUGCUGAGACAUUAAACAGUUGAUUUCCACACGGAAGCCCCCAUCAGCUGUGACAAACGCAUUAUAAACUAUUUCUUUCUCUCUUUUUUUCAUGGAAAUGUGAAGAAUGACAAAGAUUAGCCAAAAGAUUUUCUCCCAAAUACAGCCUUGUCUUCGGGCUUCACCACUCACCAGCGGAGACGCAGCAAUGGGUGGAGAGACAAGAAUGUGCAAGAUGGAUUACACUCUCACUUCCAAUUAUAAUGAGCUAUUAAUUACACAGCUUGGCAUUAGCUUGGAUUAUAAACCACUCGUACAGAAAGAGAGCUAUUUUUCUCUUUCCAGCUGAGUACCCCACGAUCACCUUCCAGCAAGAGAGAUGAAGCCUCCGCUUAGAGAGUUUUACAUCCCGAUGGUUAACAUUGCAAGGGAAGAAAAAAAGCAACAUUAGCUCCCAGAGAUUGAAAAUCACCUGUAUGUGGCUAGUAACUCCUGGGCUGCCCAACAAGACUUUACAUCUCUGUGGUUGACCUCGGAUUGAAGCUGGCACCUCAGAUGUCUGCAGUUAACCUGUUGAACAUGCUUGCUACCAACUGUCAGGAUUCCACGGCACACUUCCUGUGCUGAUCAGCUAUGGAGACACUGAUUUCAGCUGGGCUAAGAAUGGCCCACACCACGUUUGAGUGGGACUUGGCUCUAUAUUUCCUUCUUAACACCCUCAAGACUAAAGCCAUGUGCUCAUCUGGCAUGAAAUGAGUGGGUCGAUAAUCUCAGGCUACUGUAUCUGAGGUGUGCUCAGCUUUUAGACUCAACUCCUGCACUGUCACCAUUUUAUUAGUAUGUUCUAGAAAACCAAAGUCGGGCUUUAGCCAGAAGCUACUGAGAUUUUAUUGCUGUUCUUGUAAUUGUUAUUAUUUGAGACAGGGUCUCACAUAGCUCAGGCUGGCCUGGAACUCACUAUGUAGCCAAGAUUAAUCUUACACAAAUGAUCCUCCUGCCUCUACUUCCUCAGGGUUACAGUCAUGUGCCACAAUGUCCGAUUUUAUGUGGUAUUGGGGAAUCUGUAAAAAAAUAAAAUCUAAAGGUUCAUUUAAAAUUAAAUGUACCUUGAGUCAUCUUAGUCUAGCUACAGACAAACAGAAAAUACAGAGAUCCUGGGAAGCCAGCUAACCCACCCCAACCUCAGUUAGUCUACCCUCCCACCCCCACACACUCCCACACACACACAAACUAAAAGCAAAAGACCAGGAAGACAAAAAAAAAAAAGGCCCAAAUAAAGCAACAUGAGACAAAAAGUCUACCAAAGUAUCAUUGAGUCCACUAUGUUUCAGCCGUCUAGUGCCGGGCAUGUGGCCUGCCUUUAAGUGUGAUUUAUAUACUCAGUGAGACUCCAUUGGAGAAAACUUUUUCCUUUGCAAGUGAGUGUCAAUUGGAGAGAGCUUCUUGGUUAGGGUUGGGGACUUCCGUCCACUUCCCCUCCCAGCACUGGAAUGCCUGUUAAGUUUUAAAAUAAACAGGAUGUAAAAGAGAGGCGGACUCACACAGAGCUUUUGUUGAUGGGAGGAAAAAGAUAAAUGAGCAAGAGAGGGGAAGAGAGAGACUCAGUUGAUGCUGGGUUGCACUACCCUUGUUACUCAGAUAAUGAGGAUGGAGAGGAAGCAGGCUGCCUUAGGGUUACAAAGUCUGUUCUCUGCCUCAGUCUACCCCAGAGCUCAUGCAGACUUUGUAAAGAUGUAAAAUAAAUUGCCUUUCUUUCAAGUCUCCAGGGCUCUUAUGAUGCAAUGAGGGCCUGGACUUCUGCUUGGAUCAAACCCAUGUGCAUACCAGGCAAGCACUCUAUGAAAUGAGCUGCAUCCUAGCCCCACCCAUGAAAUUCUCAAAGGAAACUCAGUUUUAACUUCCCGUGAAGAUCUCAAGGCCUCUGGGAAGAGACUGUCUCCAGUGAGGCACCUCCAAAGCAGGAACGGCAAAGUCUGAGGUGCCGAUCGAUAGGAUGCGCUGGCAGAGAACUUGGACGAUAAAUGAUCAUCUGAUGGAGAAAAGUGCACAUUGCGGAAGAUGUGACGCUGGCAAUGUGGGGCUCCGGCAGUGAUGUCAUCACCAGGCCAAGGAGAGGCAUGCAUUCCAGAGCAUCCCACUUUGUAAACAAUGACACCUGACCUCUGCACACCUCUCCCGAGGUGGGUUUGAACUCUGGGCUCAGAGGAACCUCCCUCUCCUUGUACCCAGAGAGGUUAAGACCCCAGCUCAAGCCAGGGGUUAAGGAAAUGGGUACAUCACUCAGCCGGCCUCCGGACGCUAGGAGCUCUGUGGAAUUGCUGCUGCCUCGGGCUGGAGCCUUCAUGAAAGUGACUGUGCUGGAUCUGAGAAAAGCAAAAGGCCCAGGAUGUGCCUUCAGAGUUGGAGCAGGGACAACACGGGUGCUGAGUCCUCCUCAGUUCCCUCCAGAACCUGACACUUUCUUUGCAUGUGUGGCUCUCG
This is a long non-coding RNA of Peromyscus californicus insignis, 10768 nucleotides long. RefSeq lists it as uncharacterized. Lineage: Eukaryota; Metazoa; Chordata; Mammalia; Rodentia; Cricetidae. The transcript has 6 exons. The record is from RefSeq and is a predicted model, not a curated record.